AAGUUCGAACGGGGAUAUUCAACGCGUCCGGUCCGGCGGACGAGCCGGGGCGGCUCUCGACGGACGACCUCUCGAGGUCGCCCGCGGACGUCUCGGCCGUUCGUCGCCGGCGCGUGCACUUAUCCCCUUGUAGGACGUCGCGAUCCGUUGGGCGUCGGUCUACGGUCGACGGUGGAGCCCGCGCGCGCCUCGGCGCGCGCGAACCCGUCGAUUUUCCGGCCGACUCACUCGACGGUAUCCCUCGAGGCGCGGAGCCGCGACUCGUUCGCAUCCGACUGUCCGCAAGCGCGACCGGUCUCCCGGCCGUCGGAUCUGAUCCGGCACCGGGCCCGGACGGCUGCUGGCGGGCACGUUCUCGGAUAGACUCCGACUCACGCCUAUCGGCGACGCUAUAGCUUUGGGUAAUCUCAGGACCCGUCUUGAAACACGGACCAAGGAGUCUAGCAUGUGCGCGAGUCAUUGGGACUUGUAAACCUACUGGCGAAAUGAAAGUGAAGGCCGCCUUGCGCGCGCCUAGGGAAGAUGGGUCGCACCGCGGUGCGGCCCCGCACUCCUGGGGCGUCUCGUGCCCAUUGCGGGCUGAGGCGCACCGAGAGCGCAAAUGCUGGGACCCGAAAGAUGGUGAACUAUGCCUGGUCAGAACGAAGUCAGGGGAAACCCUGAUGGAGGUUCGUAGCGAUUCUGACGUGCAAAUCGAUCGUCGGAACUGGGUAUAGGGGCGAAAGACUAAUC
RNAcentral lists this ribosomal RNA (732 nucleotides) under Oiceoptoma noveboracense. RNAcentral's name for it is "eukaryotic LSU rRNA". The stretch from base 351 to 732 matches the Rfam family "Eukaryotic large subunit ribosomal RNA", at positions 1 to 936 of the family's 3401-position model. Lineage: Eukaryota; Metazoa; Arthropoda; Insecta; Coleoptera; Silphidae. The record is from RNAcentral.